CUGUCUUUGAGUCAGUAAAACAGAAGACCUGAGUGGGAGGGCUCUUGCUUCAGGUUAUACAGCUGGUUCACAGCCAAGAGUUCUGACUCGCACAGAAGUGUUUUCUGGAGUUAGAGAGGCAGUGGGCAACAGAGCAGAGGCCCCAGGUGGAAAUUACCACCCACCAGGUCUCCAGAGUUCCAGACCUUUUGCUCAACCAGGACCAGGUUGCUCUCACAGCCCACCACUCACCCAACAGGUUCCCUUCCUUUUCCACUUGACCCCAGAGGAUCGAGACAGGCACCUCUGAUGAGGAUUGACAGGAGGCCAGAGUGAAGAAAGCCUGUGGCAGGCACCACAUCCUCCUAACUCAUGUCAGCUCUGGACCAGCAACUGAAGGAUCACCAUCCUUAGAGGCAGCCAAGCAGAGACCCACCAGUCACUGUGUAUAUAACUCCAGUGUUCAGAGGGGACUAGAUGUCCCUGGUGGCCUGUAUCAUGUGGCCCACUCACUCACUCAUGGAGUUAAAUAGUCACUGGGCGUCUACAACACAGCCAGCACCAAGAGAUUCUAGGACACAGUGAGGAUGCACACCAUCCUGGUCCUCAGGUAGUUAGCAGCGAAGCAGGUGUCCUUGGUGCAACUACCCCGCUCGGACCUCAUGGUCCGAGGAUGCUCAGCUCAGAUGUGUCAUUAAAUCUGCCCCUCAAGAAGUGUGUGUUAUGGAUUUACAGAAGAGUAAACUGAGGCACGCUGAAUGCAUGGCCCUGUCCCCAGGAUGUCACAGAAAAGCCAGGAGUUGCCAUCUAUCUGUUACAGGAUCUUAAGGCUAUGUCUAUGACUCCAGGAGACACAGGGUCUCUGGAAGACCUCUCUCUCUUGGAACUCUGUGAACAGUUUUGCCAGCUAGGGACCAUCCCGAUGCUCGAAACUUCACUCACAGGCAGUCAGAAGCCCUCCGAGGAGCUGAGCCACAGCCUUCCCUCCUUAAUGAAUUCUCGGCUAAAUUAAAGUCAUACUUCAUUUUAAAUUAAGGGUAUUUUUUUUAAAAAAAAUAAAAUAUCUGCAACGUUUAAAUAUCA
Long non-coding RNA from Mastomys coucha (southern multimammate mouse), 1062 nucleotides. RefSeq lists it as uncharacterized. The transcript is spliced from 3 exons. The record is from RefSeq and is a predicted model, not a curated record. Lineage: Eukaryota; Metazoa; Chordata; Mammalia; Rodentia; Muridae.